GCACUGAUGGGGAGUCCCAUACUAGGACGAAACGGCCGUCCAGUGC
Molecule: non-coding RNA, 46 nt
Filed under: Schistosoma bovis
Lineage: Eukaryota; Metazoa; Platyhelminthes; Trematoda; Strigeidida; Schistosomatidae
Also listed under: 1 other name
Source: RNAcentral